Long non-coding RNA from Apteryx rowi (Okarito brown kiwi), 1912 nucleotides. Lineage: Eukaryota; Metazoa; Chordata; Aves; Apterygiformes; Apterygidae. The record is from Ensembl.
UCUAUCUGGGCUUUGGUGGUGCCUGAUUGUGCCCGUCCUGCUCCCUGCUGAAUCCAGCAUGGCCAGACCAGCAGCGAGGGCAGCUGCAGUCUCCUGAGAUGGGCAGAUGUCAACAGCAGAAUCUCCCUCAGGACAACGUUGCCCUGGAUUGAUGGGGAUAGCUAUGGGCUGGGAUAAAACCUGCUUUAUUUGGGAGCUGAUGCAGAGCCUGGUGGAGGGCAUGAGAGCCUGUCUGGUGAGCUGAACAGGCCGUGGAGAGUAUGUUCCUGUGGUAAAAAGGCUUCUAGCCCCAGCCUUGAUGUCCCCCCUCUGCCACCUGUCUGGGAGGCUCGUCUUCGUCUGUGGAGCAGCUUGCCUCCAGCUCCUGCCCCAUGGGAAGACGGCUACAAACAGGCUAGCGGAGGAGCCUCGGGGAGAGGUAUGGUGGUGGAUGCAUCGCAGGAGGCUGCGGCUGUGCUGUGGAGAUGUGGGGCCUCUUUGGCAUCAGCCCUCUCCUUCAACCCAGUGGCUGCUGGGUGCAGAGGAGCCUUGGAGAGCGGCUCCUGUGGGUGCCAGUCUGUGACACGGUGCCCAGGGAUGGCAACCUGCUGAUACAAAACCUGUGUUAUCUCUGAAGCUUUUGCCACCACCAAAAGGCCUGAUUUCUUGUGGCUUUUGCGGGACCAUUUCCUUGGCAGCACUGAUGUUCUGAACAGGGAUGCAGCUUGAAGCUGUCCCCAAGGAGGUGGUUGCCAGGUGAAGGAGGAAGCAUUUGUGCUUUGUUUUGCCCCUGAUCUGCAGCAAAUUCAGUUCUAGAAAUGAGCAUCUAGGAAAAAAAAUCUAAGAGGGGUGAAGAGGGAGGCAGAUUUGUCUACCUGGGGAAACUGGACUGAAUUCUCUUUCCUUCAGGCACAAGCAGAGACCUGGGCUCUGCCCRAUGGCUCUCCACAUGCCUGCUGCAGUCUUGGGGCUGGUGGGUUCAUGAUCACCAUGAUUGGCUUUGGCUGCUCGCUCCCAAUCCCUGGGAAAUCUUCUGCUGAAGCUGAGCCUGGGGCAGAAACCCCUAAUUCCUGGAGACACCAAGUCGUGGUGCCAACAGAGAUAGUGGAUUUAAGGCACAUGAAACUCUUCUUCCCUCUCUCCAUUCAACCACAGCACGCUGCAAAAGGAAGAAAUUACCUGUCUUUCUGCUCACUGAUGCCUGCCACUGAGAUCCCCUCUCCGCCACAGGCUAGAGAAUGGCUCAUGGGCCUGAAAGCUUUUCCUUUGUGUCCAGACAGAGCUGCUGGGCAAACAAAGGCCAGGGUUGGUGCCUACCUGCCUGGCCGUGCCUGCAGUGAGCGGCGCUGGCUUUGUGCAUGUGCAGAGGAUGUGGCCUGGGGCAGCUCCCGGCUGAGCUGGUAGAAAAACAGAUCUUGAUAACCUGUGCCUGAUGCUGCAGAGUUAAAGUUUCUAAAGGCGGGUUUAGGAGGUAGGUGCACAGUGCUCGGUCUCUGGGUCUCUGAGGAGUGACCGGGGGAAGCAGCGAGCUCGACGUGCACAUGUGGCCUCUGCCUCACCCCCUCAGUGCCAUGCAGCCAAGGAGACCAUGGCCACCCCGGGACUCGCAUCUCGCUGGGUCCCCACCAUGCGCAUCGUUGGGGCUGUCGAGGGUGCUGAGGACAGGCCGUUGUGACCCCCACGCCACUGCUGCCUCCCCUUGUCACUGUCCCCCGCGGUCAGGGGGUGAGCCUGGGGCCCUCAGUCCUGCUGGAGGAGGACACCCCACCAGGGGAACGUUUGCCACGUGCCGUCUCCCACAGCCUCCCGCUCCCCUUUCCUGAGGGACCCAUGCCAGCGUUGCGGGGCUGCGACACGGGACCCUGUCUGGACACCUGUGCUGAGGCCUYGCCUGUGGAGCCAGGUUAUUAUUAGAGCCCUUUCACAGGUUGUU